CCCAGUGCGGGGCGGGGUCAGGGACUGCUGGGGGGGGGGAAGGGGGGGCGGGGAAGGAACUGGUCCAGACUGGUUUGGACUGGUCUGUACUGGUUUAUAGUGGUCCAUACUGGUCUGUACUGGUUCAUACUGGUUUAUACUGGUCCAUACUGGUCUGUACUAGUUUAUACUGGUUCAUACUGGUCCAUACUAGUACACACUGGUCUACACUGGUUCGUACUGGUCUGUACUGGUCUAUACUGGUUCAUACUGGUCCAUACUGGUCUGUACUGGUCUAUACUGGUUCAUACUGGUCUGUACUGGUCUAUAUUGCCUCAUACCACCUCGUACUGCCCCAUACCAGUCCAUACUGGUCUGUGCUGGUCCACACUGGUCCGUACUGGUCUACAUUGCCCCAUACAACCUCAUACUGGUCUGUACUGGUCCGUACUGGUCUAUAUUGCCCCACACUGCCCCAUACUGGUCUAUACUGGUCCACACUGGUCCGUACUAGUUUAUACUGGUCCAUACCACCCCAUACUGCCCCACACCAGUCCAUACUGGUCUGUACUAGUUUUUACUGGUCCAUACCACCCCAUACCGCCCCACACCAGUCCAUACUGGUCCGUACUAGUUUAUACUGGUCCAUACCACCCCCUACUGGUCCAUACUGGUCUGUACUGGUCUAUAUUGCCCCAUACCAACCCAUACUGGUCUGUACUGGUCUAUAUUGCCCCAUAUCAACCCAUACUGGUCCGUGCUGGUCCGUACUGGUCUAUAUUGCCCCACACCGCCCCACACCAGUCCAUACUGGUCCACACCAGUCCAUACUGGUCCGUGCUGGUCCAUACUGGUCUAUAUUGCCCCACACCAGUCCAUACUGGUCCGUACUGGUCUAUAUUGCCCCACACCAGUCCAUACUGGUCCAUACUGGUCUGUACUGGUCUAUAUUGCCCCACACCAGUCCAUACUGGUCCAUACUGGUCUGUACUGGUCUAUAUUGCCCCACACCAGUCCAUACUGGUCCAUACUGGUCUGUACUGGUCUAUAUUGCCCCACACCAGUCCAUACUGGUCCAUACUGGUCUGUACUGGUCUAUAUUGCCCCACACCAGUCCAUACUGGUCCAUACUGGUCUGUACUGGUCUAUAUUGCCCCACACCAGUCCAUACUGGUCCAUACUGGUCUGUACUGGUCUCACCUGUCCCUGCAGGAUCCGCAGCAGCGCCUGGCGCCCCCUGGUGGCGGCGCUGAGGAGCCGCAGCCGCCGCUGCCGCUGGAGCUGCAGGGGAGGGGUGGGGUUGGGACCCCCCCAAAAACACUCCCAAGACCCCCAAAAUAUCAUCUGAGACCCCCCCAAA
This is a long non-coding RNA of Manacus vitellinus (golden-collared manakin), 1339 nucleotides long. NCBI's taxonomy places the organism in Eukaryota, Metazoa, Chordata, Aves, Passeriformes, Pipridae. The record is from Ensembl.